AAAUGGUUAAAGUGAAAGUAGAUGUCGCCGCCAUUUUGAGUGAACCAGUACUUAGUGUCUAUAGGGAAGAUCUAAAGAACGCUUCCACAGUGGGGAUCGAACCCGUGACCUCCUGGUUGCUAGGCGGACACCAUAUCCUUUACGCCACAGCUACCUCAGGGUUUGGGGUAACGGUACAGUUUGUCAAGACACCAAACGCAAAGCCUAUCCCAAGGCAAUGCCCCAUUUGCGUGGUAAAAGGCAACACGACUGUGUACCUCCGGGUAACAGACCACGUUCGCUGGGUGCAAGCGCUGACGGCAGACCCCAUGAAACCGUUGAUGUCAGAGGCACGUGCUAAGACGGUCGGAAAGUGAAGAAGACAAAGCCGAGGAAUUGCUACUCUUGCUGGCUGUGCGACCGGUCGGUGAUUGACCGGCUGCGUCAUCUAGAACAGGAGCACAAAAUGGAGGCUGGGACAUUCAAUUUUGUUUACACAAGAGGGCCGUUUCCGGAAAGUCGCGAAAACUUCAGGAAAGGUGACCAGCAGACUCGCCACUCAUGAUGACUCGGCAUAGGAGGAUGAGAAGGUGGAGGAUGAGGAGGAGGAGGAAGAGGACUUUUCAUUCCUAACGCGGAAAUACUGCCUGAGCCUGGAACCCAAUGCAAGGGUGAUGCAUGGUCGGAGAAGCUGCAAUUUCAAUCGUUGACUCAUAUGUAGACUACAUGUUCCUGCGGAGCAGGCCAGGUGGGUUGGCAAACGAGUCGAAAACACAAGAGGUCAACAUGAAGAUCAACCGGUUCCUGGCCCUGUCUGGCUACUUGGGAGGAGUGGUGUUGAGUGACGUGCUGUUGUGGAUGGGCCAUAUGGAGGUCCACGACAGUUCCUCAACACCACUCACCAGCUGAAGACGGUGCGGAAUGCUCUAACGGCAAUCAAGAACUUCCUGAAGUGGUGCGAGGGAAUGGUCUAGCGGACGCCCGCACAUUGAACAAUGCUUCCUGACCUCAACCUGCCUGGAUAAGAGCCGUCGCGAGGUUGUUCGGAGGGUAGAGGAGAGUGCGGCCAUCCUGACGGACGCAAACCUGGAGCGCCACUUCACUGAAAGUAGGUGUACCUAGAGAUUGAGCUGGAGACAGUGAAGGUGCUGACCUCUGUGUGGAACACUUAGAAGCUGGCAAGUUUUCAUAUUGAAGGGUAUGGUUCCCAACCGCCCAUCACACACAGAAUGUAGCUUGUCGUCUUCCGCAGUAAAAACUGGGUGCUGGAAGAUGCUUACUGCUAUAUUGACUGCUUCCGAGCGCUUCCUGGACCUAAAAAUUAUCUCCCAGCAGCAACCUCCCCAAGGUGUGACGAGAGUCUUCAAGCACUAAACUCACAGUCUGCACAAUAUACGAAAAGAGUGCUAUGGUGCUGUCAUGCUCCUGAACCGGUACUUCCGUGGCUGAGAGAGCUGGCCAUUCUGUAGGAUCUUGAACAGCAGCCUCCACACACAGCUGGUUUGGCAGGUCGUCCUGUAUGGAUGCUAAACACCUCCUAGCCCCUUCAGCACUCAGAUGUAGUCCAUCAUGGGACAAGUACAGGGACUUCUUAAAAUUAAAUUUUGAUUAUAGAUAGUUACCGUACUAAUUUGUUUUAAACAUAACUAAGAUAUUAAAGCAGCAAAUUAAAUGAACUGGUUUCCCUCAACGAAUGAAAAAAUAUUUUAGUUUCAAUCAAUUAGAGUGUACAACUCUGAACUGACCAAAAUGAUCAUCCUGACGAAACUUAUGCAAGAACUUCUAAAAAAAUGAUAAUACAUGUUUAUUUUUUAAUUUCAUUAACUUCCAUAUUACAGCACAGACAGAUAUCUUUAAUUAUGGGGCUUUACGUCUAGAGCUGAAACCAACAAAACGUGCAAGUGUACCACCACAAAGUAAUACAUCUAUUUUAAAAUUCAUGAUAUUUCAUGUAAAAGUUAUUAAGAAACCAGUAAUUGCAACAAAACUGCUCAAUGAGUCAAUUUUCACCAAUUAAGGGGGCAUAUCUCUUGAGCAAAGAAGGAUGUCUGAACAGAAUUUGGGAUUGGUCCACCGCAGUAUAAUGAUGCAUAUAUUUAUUUUAAGUUUCAUGAUGAUGAAAUUCCAUGCAACAGUUGCUGAGAAACUUCCUAUUUCACUCUAGAUCUUUCCCUAUACCUGUUUAGUUGCUCCAUAGUCCAUGUAUCUCACAGAAGGCACAUGGUGACUCAGUUCCCACAGCAUGCUGUUUGCGCUCCUUAUCCACUGGCAGUAGUUCCUCAACUGUGCCCCUGAGAGUGGCCAUCGGGGAAACA
Long non-coding RNA from Dreissena polymorpha, 2294 nucleotides. RefSeq lists it as uncharacterized. The transcript has 9 exons. The record is from RefSeq and is a predicted model, not a curated record. Lineage: Eukaryota; Metazoa; Mollusca; Bivalvia; Myida; Dreissenidae.